Molecule: ribosomal RNA, 484 nt
Filed under: uncultured bacterium
Lineage: Bacteria
Description: partial 16S ribosomal RNA
Rfam family: Bacterial small subunit ribosomal RNA
Source: RNAcentral
AUUGAACGCUAGCGGGAUGCUUUACACAUGCAAGUCGAACGGCAGCGCGGACUUCGGUCUGGCGGCGAGUGGCGAACGGGUGAGUAAUGUAUCGGAACGUGCCCAGUAGCGGGGGAUAACUACGCGAAAGCGUAGCUAAUACCGCAUACGCCCUACGGGGGAAAGCAGGGGAUCGUAAGACCUUGCACUAUUGGAGCGGCCGAUAUCGGAUUAGCUAGUUGGUGAGGUAACGGCUCACCAAGGCGACGAUCCGUAGCUGGUUUGAGAGGACGACCAGCCACACUGGAACUGAGACACGGCCCAGACUCCUACGGGAGGCAGCAGUGGGGAAUUUUGGGCAAUGGGGGCAACCCUGAUCCAGCCAUCCCGCGUGUGCGAUGAAGGCCUUCGGGUUGUAAAGAACUUUUGGCAGGAAAGAAACGUCGCGGGCUAAUACCCCGUGGAACUGACGGUACCUGCAGAAUAAGCACCGGCUAACUACGUG